CUAUACAUGACUCUGCGCAUAUCAAUAAGCGGAGGAAAAGAAACUAACUAGGAUUCCCUCAGUAACGGCGAGUGAAGCGGGAAGAGCUCAAAUUUGAAAUCUUCAAGGUUCUACCUUGACGAAUUGUAGUUUAAAGAAGUGUUUUCUGUUGGAGUUUUGGUAAAAGUUCUUUGGAAUAGGACAUCAUAGAGGGUGAGAAUCCCGUAUUUGACCAUUAUUUCCAACUUUGUGAUACACUUUCAAAGAGUCGGAUUGUUUGGGAAUGCAGUCCAAAAUGGGUGGUAAAUUUCAUCUAAAGCUAAAUAUUGGCGAGAGACCGAUAGCGAACAAGUACCGUGAGGGAAAGAUGAAAAGAACUUUGAAAAGAGAGUUAAACAGUACGUGAAAUUGUCAAAAGGGAAGCGUUUGACACCAGUGUUGUUUAGUUGAAAAUCAAUUCAAUAAUUUUUGAUUUUAAGUAGUAUUGACUUCAUCAGCUUGCUGCUUUCUUUUCGAAAAUUAUUGAAUGCACUUUUCAGUUAACAAGUCAACAUCAAUUUCUUUUGUUGUAAGAGGGUAAGAGGAAGGUGGCUUACGCUUCGGCGUAAGUGUUUAUAGCCUUUUACCUCUGCAAUCGGAGAGAUUGAGGUCAGCAGCGUAGACUCCUUCGGGGGUUAGAUACACUUGUGCUAAGCUAUAGCCUUGUAUAGACAACUUGUUGACUAUGCUCAGUCAUGUAGCUUACUCGCUUGUGCUAUUUUACCUACGCUUAGGAUGUUGAAGAUAUGCGCGACACGACUCUAUACAUGACUCUGUGCAUAUCAAUAAGCGGAGGAAAAGGCAUACCUACGCUUAGGAUGUUGAAGAUAUGCGCGACACG
This 859-nucleotide ribosomal RNA is filed under the name uncultured Neocallimastigales. RNAcentral's name for it is "partial large subunit ribosomal RNA". It matches the Rfam family "Eukaryotic large subunit ribosomal RNA", at positions 22 to 644 of the family's 3401-position model. The record is from RNAcentral. Lineage: Eukaryota; Fungi; Neocallimastigomycota; Neocallimastigomycetes; Neocallimastigales.